AGUGAACGCUGGCGGUAGGCCUAACGCAUGCAAGUCGAACGGCAGCACAGUAAGAGCUUGCUCUUACGGGUGGCGAGUGGCGGACGGGUGAGGAAUACAUCGGAAUCUACUUUUUCGUGGGGGAUAACGUAGGGAAACUUACGCUAAUACCGCAUACGACCUACGGGUGAAAGCAGGGGAUCUUCGGACCUUGCGCGAUUGAAUGAGCCGAUGUCGGAUUAGCUAGUUGGUGGGGUAAAGGCCCACCAAGGCGACGAUCCGUAGCUGGUCUGAGAGGAUGAUCAGCCACACUGGAACGUAGACACGGUCCAGACUCCUACGGGAGGCAGCAGUGGUGAAUAUUGGACAAUGGGCGCAAGCCUGAUCCAGCCAUACCGCGUGGGUGAAGAAGGCCUUCUGGUUGUAAAGCCCUUUUGUUGUGAAAGAAAAGCAGCAGGUGAAUACCCCGCUGUUCUGACGGUACCCAAAGAAUAAGCACCGGCUAACUUCGUG
Molecule: ribosomal RNA, 492 nt
Filed under: uncultured bacterium
Lineage: Bacteria
Description: partial 16S ribosomal RNA
Rfam family: Bacterial small subunit ribosomal RNA
Source: RNAcentral